Molecule: long non-coding RNA, 14202 nt
Filed under: Lathyrus oleraceus (garden pea)
Lineage: Eukaryota; Viridiplantae; Streptophyta; Magnoliopsida; Fabales; Fabaceae
Description: Pisum sativum (pea) long non-coding RNA (PSAT_LNC004138)
Source: RNAcentral
UAAACAUUCCAAGAAUGAAACAAAUCAUACUCAACAUAACUUUACAACAUAUCAAGUAUUAAGUAUUAUGUAAUAUCUUAUUAUUUCAUGAAAGAAAACUCUAGUUCCAAGAAGUUACAAUGAUCGUUUUUUAUUACAUCAUAAAAGAAACGUCAUUAUAAAGAGUUUGCAAAGAAAAGCUACAUGAAUAAAUGAAUUUUUCCAUUUCUAAAAUAAUAAAAGUUAUUACUAUAAUAGGAAGCUCCAAUUAGAUUAUAAAAUAUAAGUAAACUUUCAUUGCUGGUGGCAACUCCUGGUUCUUGUUCCUUUACUCUGGAAGAAUGUUCUUUACAGAUGAAGUUUCUAAGAUCACUUGUAAUGCUUAACAUAUAUUAUCAAAGAAAAAUAAAUAAAUAAAUAUUUCAAUUGCCUUUGUUUCUCUUCUUGAAAUUGUUUUUUGUUUUUAUUCUAAUUAGUUAAUGGAAUAAUACAUGAGCCUCCAAUCGAUUUGUCGAGAGAGUACGAGGCAUGGGUAUCAAAUUCGUUAAAGUUUGCCGUUGCGCACGCCGAAGAACCCAAUAGAAUGAUAUGUCUUGCUUGCGGUUUAUUGUUAUGGGAAACGGGUUGACGCAGUUCAGUUGGACAUCGCAUUCUACAUGAGGCAUGGAUUUGAUCGAAGUUAUAACAUGUUGAAUUUGGCAUGGUGAGAAAAGUACGAUGAAAUCGUUGAACCGGGGGAUUAUACGAACCUAUGCCUCAAACUAUAGUGGUGCGAUAAUACGAUUGUUGAUCGAGUUGAAGAGAUUGCAGAAGCACUUGGAAGGAGAUCUUAAGGAUUGUCCCGACAUGUUUGAGAGGUUUGUAAGUGAUGCAGAGAAACCCUUGUUAUGAUGGUUCACUAAAUUGCAGCAAGAUUGUCUGGCAGUAUUAGUUGUACAACUUAAAGGCGGGCAAUGGAUGUCGAAUAAAAGUUUCACAGGAGUUACUUUUAGGCCUUUUGAAAGAAUAUGCUCCUGGGAUAAAUGUUCCUUUCCCAAUCAAACAUAUGAGACCAAAAAAGAUGUGUGCUCUAUUGGCAUGAGCUAUGAAUUAAGAUACAUGCAUGUCCAAACGGAUUGCGUUUUGUUUCGAAUGAGUAUGCAUCGUUAAAUGAGUGUCGCCUAAAUGCGGUGUCUCGCGAAUAUAAGAACAAGUUGGUCUCCAGCAAAAGUCUUUGUGGUAUUUCCUGUUAUUCCGAAUUUUAGACGCAUGUUUCGUAGUGAAACCCGAUUCAAGACACUUGACCUGGCAUGUGCAGAUGAAAAGAAUUAUAGAUGGAAAGUAUCAGACAUCUCGGCAGAUCUCACCACAGUGCGUUGAAAAUUGAUAUAUGGAUUAUCUGAAUUUGGAUGAAGAAUCAGAAAACCUUCGCUUGGCAUUAUCUACUGAUGGAAUGAACCCACACGGUAUCCCAGGAGUUAUCUCACACAGUACAUAUGGCCUGUGAUAUUUAUGAUUUAUAACCUACCCUCCAAUGGCUAUGUAAUGAAGCGUAAGUACAUGAUGUUGUCUUAUGUUGAUUUUUGACCUAAACAACCAGGAGAAUGACAUAGACUUGUCACUUGAAGCCUUAAUCGAAGAUUUAAAAGAUUUUGUGGGAGAACCGGUGUGGAGGUUUUAUGAUGGAUAUAGGAAAGAAAAGUUUCAACUUGAGGGCGAUGUUGUUUGGGCACUAUUAAUGAUUUUCCAGCAUACGGAAAUCUAUCAGGGUUAUAGCAUAAAAGGUCAAUGUGCGUGUCCUAUUUGUGAAGAUAAAACAGAUUGGAUAGCGCUUGGAGUUUGGUCAGAAGAAUGUCUUUCUCGGUCAUUCGAGAUUCUUAAAUUCAAAUCAUCAACUACCGUUGGAUGGAGAAAGGCGUUCAAUGGAGAGACAGAACAAGGCAGAGCCCUCCACCUUAUUAUGACGGGAUCAAAUUUUUGAAAAGGUGAAAAGAUUUUGGUACUCAGUUUGGCCAGCCUUUUUGCCCACAACACUUGUCAAAAUGGGUGGAAGAGAGGUCUAGUUUUUUUUUGAAUUGCCGUAUUGGAGUCCUUGUAUGUGAGACAUUUUCUUUGAUGUUAUGCAUAUGAAAAAAAAUGGUAUUUGAAAGUGUUAUUGCACGUUUAAACUCAAUAUACAAGGAAAGUCUCAAGGAAUGGCCUUAAGGCACCAGAAAAGGAAUUUGAAUGGCGAUGGGAAUAAGAACUGAAAUUAGACCCUUUGAGAAAGGAAGACGAAAAAUAUCUACCGCCUGCUGCUUAUACUUCUAUUACUAGAAAGGAGAAAAACAUAUGUGUAAGUUUCUAAGUGAAGUUAAAAGUUCCAGGAAGGGUACUCUUCAGAUAUUAGAAGACUUGUGUUCUAUGAAAGAACGCGUCAAGUUAAAGAGUUUAAAGACCGCGGCAUGAUUGCCAUGUAAAAUAAUGGAACAUUUUCCUCCAACUAGGUAUUCGUUCUAUUCUUCCAGAAAAAGUAGAAGCUCUAUAAACUAAGUUGUGUUCUUUCUUCAAGUCAAUUUGCAGUAAGCGUGAUCAAUCCUGCCGAUCUUACCAAAUGUUGCAAAAAGAAAUCGUUAUUACUUUGUAUGAGGCUUGAAAUGUUUUUUCCUCCAUCAUUUUUUUUGACAUAAUGGUCACAUACUAGUUGUUCAUCUUGUGAAAGAGACACAUUGUGUGGACCAGCUUAUAUGAGAUGGAUGUACGCCCUAUUGAACGUCAUAUGAAAAUAUUAAAAAGGGUACGUGAAGAAACGCGAAGUCGACCAGAAGGUUGUAUGGUUGAAAGAUACAUUGUUUGAAGAAGCGAUUGUUAGCUUUGUAGCUUGAAUAUUUGUCUAAUGUUCAGUCAUCUCGACUCGCCUAAGUCCUCAAACUUGUCGAAAAGGAAAGAAGGAAAAAAUCUAAUUGGAAAUAAAAUCGUGGCCGUAUCAAAGGGUGCGAAACGGGAGAUCACAGUGCAUUUGUAUGUUCUGCACAAGGAGAAUGAGGUCUGAGCCGUAGUGUUGAAAUUCACAAGGAUGUUGCUCUGAGGUUUUAAAUCCCAAUAGACAUGAAAAUUGAUAGUACGGAGAGCACAAUCCGAUGUUUUACUACCUGGUUUAAGGUUAUCAUAUUUAUUCAAAAGUAUUAUUCAGAUCCCGCUUCAAUACAGAAACGUUUGAGAUGCUAGCAUAUGGGUCCAAGUUUCCAGUGUUUUUUCUUACUAGCGCAUACGCGAUUAAUGGAUUACACAUUUUUUUAUACCAAAGAAACAAGAUAUGAUAAAAGUACUUGCAAAACAGUGGUGUCACCGUGGUAUUCUGAAGCAAUAGCACAUAUCAAGUUGAUGAAAGGAACUUAAACCCCAAAUUUGCAAAUCUGUCAGUAUUUUUGGUGUUAUCCGAGCGCAUUUGGGUGUUGAUUAUGAGAAGUUUUCAGAUCCUUUAUAUUUGGUUGCAAGUGGGUUGAAAACAAUAACGGAUUAUCGAAUGGAUAAGUCAGGAUUUUUUGCAAAGUGGAUAUUUAAUAGGGUGGGAUACACAAAGAUGAGGUCUUUUAUUCUAGUCUCUUCAAGCUUAGACAAGUGUUCUAUGUCAAUGAUCCGAAAAGUACGAAAUGGUCUAUAGUUACUUUUUUCCAAACAAAGUAAUUGAUGAAAACACUGGAGAUCAAGGUGAUAUUGAUGUUGGAUUGAGUCGUUUUACCAGAAAAUGAUCAAGAUCGAGAAUAUUAUAUCAAAUGAUUCAUAUUAGAAUGAUCUAAUGAGGGUAUUGGAUCAAUUCCAACCGUCCGUGUUGUUAAGAGACAUGUAGGAACAUAUUCCAAACCAGAAAAGGAAAGAGAACUUAGUCGAAAAGGUACAGCGUCAAAUGAUUUUAAUUGUUUCUUUAUUACAGUAAAAAUGACUUUUAUGAUUUAAUUGUUUUUACAUUUUCAUGCUGAUUUUAAUUGUUUUCUUUAUUACAGGUAAAAUGGCUAUUAUGAAGUCAAUCAUUCGUGCAAGGGCAAGGAUACUUGAAAGUAUCAAUGAUAUUUGUUUAGAUGGAGAUGUUUCCAUUGUCGUCAAGCCUCAUUCGCGUAGAUGAUGAUGCUGGAUAUUUGAAGUAUCCCUCUACGACAAUGGAACAUGUCCAUCUAAACAAUAUUCAAUUCUAUCUUCAAAGAUAAGGACCAAAAAUAUAAGGGGAUUACGCAGCAAUCGAGUCAGUUGCAUAAAAAAAAAGGUAUAAACACAAUUAUAUGAUAUUUAUGCAUAGAAAUGUUAAUUCUUGAUCUUAUACAUCACCUACUAAUUUUAUGAUAUUUUAGGUUCAUGCUAUUGAUAUUGAACAAAAGAGGUUGUUGCUAAGAAGACUGCUGCUAGCAAAAAAAACAUACAUCUCAGAGAUGCUUUUUGCUACUUAGUUUUAUUUCUUUUUAAGUUAUGAAUUGGUUGUAUAUUUAGAAUCUUUAGAAGUUAAACGAUUAUGUAUCAUGGAUGUUGUAUAUGUAUGGAUUGUUGAUAUUAAGGCUUGUUGAAUGCAAUGUGUGAAAAAGGGCUUCAAAUUAUACAGUUUUGGUGUACUGCUUCAAUAUACAGGUUGUCUAAAAUAAAUAAAAAAAUAUAGCGCUUUUUAAAAAAAAAAAUUAAAUAACCACCCACUUUAGAGGGCGCUUCCCAAAUAAAGCGCCCUCUAACCCUUUAAAUUUCCACUUAGAGGGCGCUUCAGUAAAGCGGCCCUCUAAACCCUAAAAAGUUUCCACUUUAGAGGGCGGUUUCUAGUAAAAGCGCCUCUAAAACCUUAAAUGUUUCCACUUUUAGAGGGCGCUUUCUUUAAAAAGCUCCCUCUAAAGUGGCCCAUAAAGGGCUUAAAGAGCCACUUUAGACAGCGCUUUCACCAGGAAAAAAAGUGUUGUCUUUACUAUGCCAGCGCCAGAUUAGAGGGCGCUUUAAAGCGCUGUUAUAGGCCAAAAAAGCGCCCUCUUUUCCUUAUUUGGCGUAGUGGUCUAAUUUUUAGGCCCGCCGAUCCUCCACUAUCACCGCCCCGCCUCGUCCCGUUUUUUUGCGGGAUUUUACGGACGGACAUAAACGGGACGAUAUGCCCGUUUGCCACAUUACGCACUACUGAUACAAUAAUAUAUAAUAUAAGAUCAUUGUCUAAUUUCUCAUAACUGUCAAACGAAUAUAUACAACAAAUUACCCAAACUACCCAAACUACAUGCCUAAAGAUUAAGAUAUAUUGAUGAGGAAGUUACGUAUGAGAUAUGUUAUUAAAAUAUAACAUUCUAGGAGCUACGUAUUUUGUCAGCUAAUGACAUAGUCAAUUACAUCAGUUAAUUGUUGUUAAUAAUUACAUACUAAAAACAACAGUUAAUUAUUAACACAUAAAAAGGACUGCAUGAUGCAAACACAACUGUCAUGGUAAGUUAAUCAUGCAAAAGGGGACAAACCAAUCACUCUCAUGAUUUUUAUGGAAAUUGUCUUCUUUGUGAAAACACACUAUAAAAAAUGUGUUUUAUUACGAGGAUUUCAAUCCCAAAAAAUUGUAUUACCGGAGUUUUUGAAAACCGCCGUUAUACCCACCGUUCCCAAAUAUAUUCGCAAGAAUUUUAGGUAAACCGCUUGAUAUCCUAUUUAAACUGGAGAAAUUUAUAUUUUGAAGGUCGAAAACUCUUGUAAAUUAUUAUUAAUGUGAAAAAAAAUAACAACUCUUUAGAUUUCAUUUGGAAAUAUAAUUAUGACAAAAUCAAAUGAUAUGUAUAUAAAAAUUACGCUGAUACAACUGAAAAUUCUUAAUGGCCAAAAUAAAAUAUAAUCCUAAAUAAAGAACAAUUAAACAUUCCAAGAUGAAACAAAUCAUACUCAACAUAACUUUACAACAUAUCAAGUAUUAAGUAUAUGUAAUAUCUUAUUAUUUCAUAAAGAAAACUCUAGUUCCAAGAAGUUUACAAUGAUCGUUUUUUUAUACAUCAUAAAAAACGUCAUUAUAAAGAGUUUGCAAAGAAAACGCAACCAUUGGAAAAUAAGAAUUUAAAAUUUUCCAUUUCUAAAAUAAUAAAAGUUAUACUAUAAUAGGAAGCUCCAAUUAGAUUAUUAAAUAUAAGUAAACUUCAUUGCUGGUGGCAACUCCUGGUUCUUGUUCCUUUACUCUGGAAGAAUGUUUCUUUACAGAUGAAGUUUCUAAGUAUCACUUGUAAUGCUUAACAUAUAUUAUCAAAGAAAAAUAAAUAAAUAAAUAUUUCAAUUGCCUUAUUUUAUUUUAUUACCAAUAUUUUAAAGUAAAAGUCUUACAUGUAUGGUCUUCUGAAAUUUUGUAAAAAAAAUAAAGUAUACUUAUUAUGGUUAGUUACAACAAUUCUUGGCAACUAGGAAUAUUUUAUUAUAAAGUUGUGUAAGAACUCAUUUUUUNNNNNNNNNNNNNNNNNNNNNNNCUAUAAUUUUAUCCUUUUUACCAAUAUCUUUAAAGUACAGAGAAUCUUACUAUGUAUGUCUCGCAUACCAAUUAUUCGUAACAAAAAUAGAAAGGUAGGUGGUUACUAAUUUAUGGUUAGAUUACAACAAUAUUCACUUGGCCACUAGCGCAAUAUUCAUUUAUAAUAGUUGGGUGCUAAGAAACUCAGUUUGGUUGGGCACUUAUAUUGACGCCCAACUUACUUCUUUACCAUAGAAAUUCGACAUAGGAUUGUCAGAGCUGCACGUGUCGCAGAGGGGUGUUGUAAUACGAUUUAAUUAAUAUAGGAAUAUCGUCUAUCUUGUAUCAUACAAUUAUCAAAUCUAUUUUCGAACCAUUCAACUAUUUACUGUAAUAAAAUUGAACCAAGAUAACAGAAUAAUAUUAAUAACUUUAACCAAUAAAAAAAUUGAGGUUUCUAUGUAAAAAAAUAUAAAGCUCAUAAAUUUAAAAGGUUACGAAAAUGAUCCAUAGCUGCAAAUGUUGUCUUAUUCAAUUACACCAAAAUCACAGAGCUCAGAUGAAAAUCAUAAACAACCAUGGAACAAUAUUUCGAGAGAGUAUUAGAUUCUCUCUCUCUCUUUCUUUUUCAUGUAUUGACCCCAACUUCUUUCUUUCCUAGAAAUCGACAUAGAUUGUCAAUGCACUUCACGAUGUGAGAUUUAUUAAUAUUAGGAAACGUUUCUUGACAAAAUUCAUCUGUUUCGCAUUCAACUUUUACUGUAAUAAAAUAACAAAAUAAAGAAUAAUAUUAAUAGAAAAAAUAAAAAAUUGAGUUCAAAGUAAAAAAAAUAAAGCUCAAAAUUUAAAAAGGUUAGAAAAAUAUCUUACUGCAAAUGUUUCUUUCAAUAAAAAAUACAGAAAUCAAUAAAAUCAUAAAAUGAACAAUAUUGAGAAAUUUAGUCAUAUUUUCUCUUUUUGCAUGUUAUAGUUAUAAUAUGAUAUGAUCAAUUUAUAGUGUAUAAUCUUAUCCUAAGUUAAAAUAAAUUAAUUAUCUUUAGCCCUUGAGAAAUAGGGAAAAACAUCAUUAAAUUGCUAAUGUGUAUAUUUUUAUUAGAUUAAUGUGUUAUGUUUGUCCUUUGACACAUUAAAGAGUAACAUGCAAAACUUUCUUAUCAUUAGAAUUCACUCUUCUUAAAUUAAUAGAGAAAUAAUAUUUUAUUUAUUUCUAAAAUAGUUACAAACGCAUAGUUUACCGAUAGUUAAACUUAUUGUAAGUUUUUUUUUAAAGAUAAAAUCAUUUGAUUUUAGGAAAUGAAUAUUAAAUUUUGUAGUUAUUUGAUUUUAGGGUUGGAGAAUUCGUGUGGUUCAAUUCGAUAAGAAUUAGUCCAAUUCAAAAUUUGACUCGAGUUCAACCCGAUUUUUUUAAAGGUUAAAUUCACGAAUAAUUUAUUUCAAUUCGAUAGGUUCAACUUCCUGCUCUACAGAUUAAAAAUCCAUUUUUUUAAAUCUAUUUUUCAUUUAUAUUUGACAUUUUAAAUUAAUAAUUUUUGUAAAAGAAAAAUAUUUAAAUAUAAUAAAAAUUAUAAGAUUAAAAUUUAACUUUUUCUCAAAAAUCCUUAAUGUUUUUAUUUAUAAGAAGAAUUUUAUUAAAUUAAAAAUUUUAAUUUUUAAUUACUCUAUACAAUUUUUUUUUACAUGAUGAUGAAUUUAUUUGUAUAAUUAUUUUAAAUAUAUUUUGUUCACUUGGGAAUAUAAAUGAUCAAUUAAAACCGUCAAAUUAAAAGAAAAAUUAGAAGAUUUAUAGUAAGGUUUUAAGCAUAUUCUUAGAGUCAAUAUAAUUUAUCUCAUAUAUAAUCGAGUUGAUUCAUGAACCUAAUGACUUGAGUUAUACAUAGUUCAAAUCUACCUCAUUUAAUUAAGAAACUUAAUUUUUUGUUCAUAUUCAGCUCAUUUAGUUCAUGAACCUAGUUCAAUGAUUUAGUUUUCGAAUUGAAUUUUGAAUUAUGUUUGAAUUUGUCUAGUUCAUUGAUAGCUCUAUUUGAUUUCGUAACAUUAUCAUUCACAUAAAUCUUGUAAUAACCCAUAUAAUAUAUAUCUAGAAUAAUAUCAUACAAGUUUUAUUAUUUUUUUGGUACUAUCACAACAUAAGUGCCUAACGACAUCUUUAUAUACAUGCCCAUAAAAUAAAAUACAACAUAUGGAACAUGUCAUGCGAUAGUGCCUAAAUAAAGAUCUAAGAACUAUGUAUAAUAUCUACAAUUAUACAAAUCUACUGUAGAAGAUCAUAAUAAAAUCUUUCCUUGAAACAUCAAUGCACAACUCCUCUUGUACAAUAUAUCCUAUAAACAAUACCUGGAAAAAAACAAUAAUAUUGGGGUGAGAUAAUAAUCUCAGUGAGUUCUUCUAUCUUAUGGGUUCACUCGACUCUAUAGAGUUUUCUAAUCGAUUUCCUAACUCAAGUCACAAAGGGGGAAAUCUGGAGUUCCCAAAACUCGCAAUGUAUAGAAAUACGCCUCUUGAGUUCAUCGACUCAAACAAUCACUAAUCAAAAACCAUUACAAGGUAUCUUCCCCCGUCCAACCCUACGUCUAGGAUUAUCGACAUGGAUCAUGAAUCCUUGUAUAUACUUUGAAAUACGCACAGACUUCGAAUUCUAAGUGAUCACAUCCACUUCAAGAAUCGUCGCUUCCUGUGGGACUCAAAACUCAUUUCAAAACUUUUACUCGUAUGGGACUCAUCCCACUUUGGGAUCUACCGCCUUUGGGACUCACGCCCAGGUCAUAAGUAUUGGUGUGUACGUCCCAAUUCUUACUAUAUAUGAGCAUCACAACUUGGGACAACACAAUCAACGGGUUAUUUCUGACUAUGUGACAAGAUAGAAAUACAACGUAAUUGUAUUCAAAAAUCACAAGGUAAUCACGUUCAUCUUCAUCACACAACAACACAACAUGUUCCAUACAAUGCAUCCCACUCUCAACUAUGGCAACGAUCCAUCCAUGACACUCAACUAGGUAUCAUAUAGAAUAAACGCCGCCAUCUAACGUUAUUUAUGCCAUAUGUCUAACUUCUUAACCUAAUUAGAACUCUAGGUUAACUCACAUUAUUCAUCAUGUUUCUCUCUCAUAUAUUGUUGAUUUAAUACAUACAUAUCAUAACAUAUGUCAUAAGGCACACAUAUGGAAAAGAUAGCAUAUUCCAUUUAUCCCAAACAAAAUGCAAUAAAUUACCAUGAUCAUAUAAAGCUUUAAACAAGCUUUCUAAUGCAUUUGACCGCACAUCGAACAGAUUUAUGAAACUCAAGUUAUGCCACAAACAAUGCAGAGGAAUAACACAAAAACCAGUUAACCGUGCUAAGCGCCAUCUGAGCAUGCUAUUGUGAUUUGAGAAUGUUAUCUGGAGAAUUGUGUCACCCUUUUUGAGUAUUUUAUUCUGCAUAUUUUAUAAAUUAAAUGUCUGGGGUUUAUGGUUUUACAACCAGACCCCAACCAUAUACAAUUGAUCAAAGUAUUUCAUUUCCCUUAAGCGGUGAGCGAUCGUCCUCUUGAUUUCCGUAACGUCGUUGGCUCCUUUUCUUCAAACAAUAAUCGAAUUUGUUUCUUAGUCUAAUAAUCGAAAUCUUUCAAAUAUAUAUUCAAAUAAACAAAAAAGUAUUUGGACAAAUAAUCAAAUAAUGCAAGCACAAAUAAACCUUCGACAUCAUAUAUCAGACCUAUAGCAACUUAUUAAGCUAAUGAUAACAGUCCUAAAGUAUCUUAAAUUAUUUUAUGCUAACCGUCCAAACGUAUAUAGAUAUUUUCCCCAUAUUUUGUUGUUAAGCAUUGUUGAAAGUCCACGACCGCUUCCUCCGAUCUUUGACUAGAACUUAAUUUCAAUAACCGUUGAAUUGUACAAAAUUUAUAAAAUAAUUAUAAUAUAAUUUACGCAGAAUUUCAUAAACUUGUUAUUACUUGAAAUAUUUACUUUAAAAUAUUUAAUAGUAACCUCCACUAUAUUUGAAUAAUUAUUAAACUCAAAUAUAAAUUAGACUAUAGCCUGUUUGGAUUUGUUGAUUUUAGAAAAUUAUCAAGAGUAUAUUUCUAAUAACCUUUUAAUUUUAUAAUAACACUUGAGCAUUAUAAUGACUUAAAAUGGUAAAAUUUAUCUUUUAUUAGGAUAUCAAUUUGGACUUUAUAAGUUCAAUACCUCUAUGCUGAAUGGAAAUUUAAAUAGAAAAUUUAAAAUAACCUUAUAUGAAUAAAAUAAUUAAAUUAAUAUAAUUAAAAUAAAAUGGACAUUAUAACGACUUACUAGUUACUUAUGAAAAUAAUUGUGGCGGCAAUGAAGCGUAUAAAAUCAAACUCCUUUGAAAUUUUAGAAGCAUUUUGACCAUAUAAUAGCUCUAAAAGCUAUGAACCAAUACUGUGAAAACCUCGAUAACAAAAACUAAUAUCGUUGUAUGAAGAAAAAAAAAUAGAGUGGUGAGAGAAAUGAAUUCUGAAUGGAUAAAUGAAAAUGGGGUGGAAUAAACCCUUAUAUAUACUAGUUGUAAGAUUUAUAUAUAUAUAUAUAAUAUAUAAUAUUAUAUAUAUAUAUAUAUAUAUAUUAUAUAUAUAAAUAUAUAUAUAUAUAUAUAUUAUAUUGAGAUUAAUUCUAUACGAUAAAAAGUUUACACCGUCGGUUCAUCACCAUCACCUGUUUGUAUUACUUUAUAGAUUUUUAAAUAAAAGUCAAACUUCUUUUAAUAUUCACGUCUAUAAUUAAGUGAUGGUGUAAAACUUUUUUACACCUGACAGUGAUUUCAAUUAAUAUCUCUCAUCUCUCUCCUCUCUCUCUUUUCUCUCGUCUCCUUCUCUCUCUCUCUCUCUCUCUCUCUCUCUCUCUCUCUCUGAUGGUUAUAAUUUGAUUUAAUGCUUGUAUUUUUUAAAUCUACACUUUUUUUACUAAUCCAUUCUGAAAAGUUAUUAAUACUUUGCAGAAUAAACUAAAAGAGAAAGAAGUGUUGGUUGAAGAAUUAUAAGCAUUGAACUAAAUUCUAACUGUUAAAGGAGAUACAGAUAAUGGAUUGUAGAAAGAUCGAAAAACAUUUAUUAAUGUAACUUGUUCUUCUAAUAUUACUCAAUUUAUUAUUUUAUUAAUAUCUAAUUAGAGUGAAAGGUUAUAUGUUUAUUGAGAAUUUAAUGAAAUAAGAAUUUCACAUAUUUUACGAUCAGACUUUAUAAAAAAACCUGUAAAACAAACAAAGAGUAAGCACGGAAUAAAGAAAGUCAGAGUAUAAAGAAAGAAAUACAUCAUAAGUAAAUAAGUGGUAAAAUGUAAACAAAAAAGGAUACAAAAAGAUGCACUAUAGGUUUAUAGAGGUUCGACUUAAUCACUUGACUUACUCAUCUCCUUGAAAAUUUCUUCAUGAGAGUUUAAAACCAGAGUUUAGAAAAAGUUUGUAGAACAAAAAUGAAAUAAGCAGUGGAAUAUAGAAAAUCGGAAUAGAAAGAAAGACAUACAUGAAAAGUAAAUUAAUUACUAAAAUAUAAAUAAAUAAGGGUAGAGAAAGAUGCACCAGCACUUUAUAGAGGUUCGACUUAACCACUUGACCUACUCAUCUCCCCGAAAAUUUCUUCUUGAGAGUUUCCACUGUGUUGUGAGGUUUUUACAAGUUUUUCCCACGAAUCUCCUUAAAAACAAACUUGAGUUUUAAAAUGGAUAAUCUCUAAACUAAACUUAGAAUUUUUUCCCACGAGAUGUUGUACAAGAUUAAUCCCAAACAAGAUGAGAGUUUUUAUACCAAGCGUAGCUCAGAAACCAAGUGGAGGUUUUAACGAAUAGGUGAAGCUCACGAACUAUGUGGAUAUUUCAACAGACAAUCUCUUGAAUCAAACAAGAGCUUUUACAAUAGGAAAAGUUCAAGAACAAAAAGUGAUAUUUGAACGGACAAUCCCAUAAACUAAACAAGAGCUUUUUAACUUGGUUUUGAUCAUAAUCAAACUAAAAAUAUCACAAGAAAUAUUACAAAAUUACCCUCACAUCCGAACCAAAUAACUCACAUGUAAAUUUCACUCUCAAAUCACUACGGUAAAAGCGAGGAAGAACUAAAGAGAGAGAAGAGAGUGAAUAAUGAGAAGGAGUGGUCAAAAUACAUUUUAUAGUAUGUAAGAAAUGAGAAAUCAUCCUUCUAUUUAUAGGACAAAGUGUGAUACAAAAAUGUAAAGAAUUCAUGGACUUUUUAAUAUUCACAACCAAUAAUGCAUAUGACAUAAUCGAUUAUGCAAUUCAAAUAUUUAAUGUUUUUAAAUGACACUUUCACUUAUCAAUUGUAGCUCCGUCUAAUCGAUUAGGGUUACAUAAGUGAUAAUUGAUUAAUCAAGUGUGAUAAUCAAUUAUGUCAUGUAAAAAUCCUCUUAGUGUGAUAAUCAAAAAGGUUUUCAAGUAGUUUUACUAAAACCGGAGAGGAUUUUCGAUCAUUCAAACGGUGUAAUCGAGCUACUGAAACAAAAAAGAUAUAAUAUAAGAUCAUUGUCUAAUUUCUCAUAGACUGUCAAAGGAAUGUAUACAACAAAUUUCCCAAACUACAUGCCUAAAGAUUAAGAGAUACCUAUGUUGUCAGCUAAUGACAUAGUCAAUUACAUCAGUUAAUUAUUAACACAAUAAAAAUGGAACUGCAUGGUGCAAACACAACUGUCAUGCUAAGUUAAUCAUGCAAAAGGGUGACAAACCAAUCACUGCUCAUGAUUUUUUAUGGAAAAUUGUCUUCUUUGUGAAAAGACACUAUAAAAAAUGUGUUUGAUUACGAGGAUUUUCAAUCCCAAAAAAUUGUAUUACGGGAGUUUUGAAAACCGCCGCUAAUACAGGUCCCAAAUAUAUUCGCAAGGAUUUUAGGUAACCGCUGAUAUCCUAUUUAAACCGGAGAAAUUUUUAUUUUGAAGACUCUUGUAAAUUAUUAUUAGUGUGACAAAAAAUAACAACUCAUUAGAUUUCAUUGGAAGUAUAAUUAUGAUAAAAUCAAAUGAUAUGUAUAUUAAAAUUAUGCUGAUACAACUGAAAAUUCUUAAUCGCCAAAAUAAAAUAUUAUCCUAAAUAAAGAACAUUAAACAUUCCAAGAAUGAAACAAAUCAUACUCAACAUAACUUUACAACAUAUCAAGUAUUAAGUAUUAUGUAAUAUCUUAUUAUUUCAUGAAAGAAAACUCUAGUUCCAAGAAGUUAUAAUGAUCGUUUUUUAUUACAUCAUAAAAGAAACGUCAUUAUAAAGAGUUUGCAAAGAAAAGCUACAUGAAUAAAUGAAUUUUUCCAUUUCUAAAAUAAUAAAAGUUAUUACUAUAAUAGGAAGCUCCAAUUAGAUUAUAAAAUAUAAGUAAACUUUCAUUGCUGGUUGCAACUCCUGGUUCUUGUUCCUUUACUCUGGAAGAAUGUUCUUUACAGAUGAAGUUUCUAAGAUCACUUGUAAUGCUUAACAUAUAUUAUCAAAGAAAAAUAAAUAAAUAAAUAUUUCAAUUGCCUUAUUUUAUUUUAUUACCAAUAUUUUAAAGUACAAAGUCUUACAUGUAUGGUCUCUGAAAUUUUGUAAAGAAAAAUAAAAAGUAUACUUAUUAUGGUUAGUACAACAAUUCAUUGGCAACUAAGGAAUAUUUUAUUAUAAAGUUGUGUAAGAACUCAUUUUUCAUGUAUUGACCCCAACUUCUUUCUUUCCUAGAAAUUGACAUAGAUUGUCAAUGCACUUCACGAUGUGAGAUUUAUUAAUAUUAGGAAACGUUUCUUGACAAAAUUCAUCUGUUUCGCAUUCAACGUUUACUGUAAUAAAAUAACAAAAUAAAGAAUAAUAUUAAUAGAAAAAAUAAAAAAUUGAGUUCAAAGUAAAGAAGGUAAAGAUCAAAAUUUGAAAAG